RNAcentral lists this ribosomal RNA (351 nucleotides) under uncultured bacterium. Its description in RNAcentral is "bacterial SSU rRNA". It matches the Rfam family "Bacterial small subunit ribosomal RNA", at positions 28 to 381 of the family's 1533-position model. The record is from RNAcentral.
GACGAACGCUGGCGGCGUGCUUAACACAUGCAAGUCGAGCGGUAAGGCCCUUUCGGGGUACACGAGCGGCGAACGGGUGAGUAACACGUGGGUGACCUGCCCUCAGCUCUGGGAUAAGCCUGGGAAACUGGGUCUAAUACCGGAUAUGACUCCAUGACGCAUGUUGUGGGGUGGAAAGCCUUGUGCGGCUGAGGAUGGGCCCGCGGCCUAUCAGCUUGUUGGUGGGGUGAUGGCCUACCAAGGCGACGACGGGUAGCCGGCCUGAGAGGGCGACCGGCCACACUGGGACUGAGACACGGCCCAGACUCCUACGGGAGGCAGCAGUGGGGAAUCUUGCGCAAUGGGCGAAAG